Long non-coding RNA from Python bivittatus (Burmese python), 574 nucleotides. RefSeq lists it as uncharacterized. The record is from RefSeq and is a predicted model, not a curated record. NCBI's taxonomy places the organism in Eukaryota, Metazoa, Chordata, Lepidosauria, Squamata, Pythonidae.
GCAGCAUCAUCCAAUGUGGUUUUCAGCUUACUCUUGGUGAUAGGAAGUGAAGCAGGCAGGCUGUUGAUUGAUUCCAAUCCAACAGCAGUUUUUUCAGCAACAAUGACCCCAGAGUGUUGAUCCACCUGCUUUCACAUGAUGCUGCUGAAGCCCUUUAUGAGGUAUGGUGGCCAGAACAUGAUAUAUCCUGUGUUCUAUGGUGUAUUUGUACCCUAGAAGUGAAUCACAGUUAUUCCAGUGGGUGAAAGACAGGAGAAGAAUGUUGGCUGGAAAGAGUUUCUUCUGAAAAUCUUUCAGUUCAAAGAGCUCUGGACAAUGAAUCCCCUGUGGUACCUGCCCUUUACAUUUGGUGGAGUAGCACUGCAAUACUGGGGUUUCUCAUCUUAAGAAUAAUAUCAAAGUGUCCAGGAAAGUUGAAACCUUACCAUCAUAACUGAAUUUUGGCUUGCCAUUUCUGAAACAGCCCUAUCUGCAACCUGUUUUAAAACCAGCAUAAUAUACAGCCAGUUGCUGGGGUCAAUAUUUAGCCUCAUGCCAUGAAAAACUAUUGUUGUUGUUGUUGUUUAGUCGUUAA